GAACGUUAUUAGUAGGAAAUGGCUAAUAAGUGACGGUACCUUACCAGAAGGGACGGCUAACUACGUGCCAGCAGCCGCGGUAAUACGUAGGUCCCGAGCGUUAUCCGGAAUUAUUGGGCGUAAAGGGCACGUAGGCGGACAAAUAAGUUUGAUGUCAAAUAUGAUGGCUCAACCAUCAAGAGGCGUUGAAAACUGUUUAUCUAGAAUCUCGGAGAGGUAAGUGGAAUUCCAUGUGUAGCGGUGGAAUGCGUAGAUAUAUGGAGGAACACCAAUGGCGAAGGCAGCUUACUGGACGAAGAUUGACGCUGAGGUGCGAAAGCGUGGGUAGCAAACAGGAUUAGAUACCCUGGUAG
Molecule: ribosomal RNA, 353 nt
Filed under: uncultured bacterium
Lineage: Bacteria
Description: bacterial SSU rRNA
Rfam family: Bacterial small subunit ribosomal RNA
Source: RNAcentral